UACGAAGGGGGCUAGCGUUGUUCGGAAUCACUGGGCGUAAAGGGCGCGUAGGCGGCUUUUCAAGUCGGGGGUGAAAGCCUGUGGCUCAACCACAGAAUUGCCCUCGAUACUGUUAGGCUUGAGACCGGAAGAGGUGAGUGGAACUGCGAGUGUAGAGGUGAAAUUCGUAGAUAUUCGCAAGAACACCAGUGGCGAAGGCGGCUCACUGGUCCGGUUCUGACGCUGAGGCGCGAAAGCGUGGGGAGCAAACAGG
This 253-nucleotide ribosomal RNA is filed under the name uncultured bacterium. Its description in RNAcentral is "partial 16S ribosomal RNA". It matches the Rfam family "Bacterial small subunit ribosomal RNA", at positions 524 to 776 of the family's 1533-position model. The record is from RNAcentral.